UAAACUAAAGUUCCAUUUUGGGAGUUGUCACUAUCUAGAUUAGACUUGCAGUAAAUACAGUAAACUUAUUUUAAAUUUUGUUGAGAAUUACUUAACUGGUUUACCGUACUUCUAAAUUAUCAUAUUCAGGAAAGUUAAGGAAAACACCCACAUUAAUCACAUAGGUAGCAAGAGGUACAUCUCCAUUUCUACCAGUCAAUACACAAUUGAUUCAAGAAACCUCCCACAUACCUCCCGCUAUGGAUGAGGGGAAACUCACUGCUCUAGUGCUAUUGGAUCUGAGUGCUGCGUUUGACACUGUUGA
Molecule: long non-coding RNA, 304 nt
Organism: Anneissia japonica
Lineage: Eukaryota; Metazoa; Echinodermata; Crinoidea; Comatulida; Comatulidae
Exons: 3
Source: RefSeq, a predicted model, not a curated record